UUUUUUUUUUUCAAGCAGAAGACGGCAUACGAGAUUUCGCGGAGUGACUGGAGUUCAGACGUGUGCUCUUCCGAUCUGUUUCCCAGUCACGAUAUGUUGCGGAGAUAUCACAAGUGAGAAUGCCGACAUGAGUAACGAUAAAACAAGUGAGAAACUUGUUCGCCGAAAAUCCAAGGUUUCCUGCUUAAAGUUAAUCUGAGCAGGGUUAGUCGAUACCUAAGGCGAGGCCGAAAGGCGUAGCCGAUGGAAAUUGGGUUAAUAUUCCCAAACCGAGUGGUGAGUGACGGAGCGUACUUUUCUGUAUCUUCUUAAUGGAUUGAAGGUGCAGCGAAGUUGCUUCCAGGAAAUAGCCCCACGUUAAGAUCGUACCAAAACCGACACAGGUGGAUGGGUUGAAGAUACCAAGGCGCUUGAGAGAACUACACUGAAGGAACUAGGCAAAAUGCAUCCGUAACUUCGGGAAAAGGAUGGCCUGCUAUGGCGCAAGCUAUGACAGGUGGCACAGAAAUGGGGGUAGCGACUGUUUACCAAAAACACAGGGCUCUGCUAAAUCAUUAAGAUGAUGUAUAGGGUCUGACGCCUGCCCGGUGCUGGAAGGUCAAUUGAUGGUGUGCAAGCACCUGAUCGAAGCCCCAGUAAACGGCGGCCGUAACUAUGACGGUCCUAAGGUAGCGAAAUUCCUUGUCGGGUAAGUUCCGACCCGCACGAAUGGCGUAACGACUUCCCCUCUGUCUCCAGUGUAGACUCAGUGAAAUUGAAUUUGCCGUUAAGAUGCGGUAUUCCUGCGGUUAGACGGAAAGACCCCGUGCACCUUUACUAUAACUUUACACUGAAUUCAAAAAUACGAUGUGUAGGAUAGGUGGUAGACUUUGAAGCUUGCUCGCUAGGGCAGGUGGAGUCGUCCUUGAAAUACCACUCUUCUUAUUUUUGGCUUCUAACUAGAGCGGCUAUAUCGUCGCUUAGGACACUGUAUGGUGGGUAGUUUGACUGGGGCGGUCGCCUCCCAAAGUGUAAAAAGGCUGGAUUUUGAUCCCCUCCAAUGUCUUGGAAGUCAAGACCUGAUCAAAGUCUUUACCCUUCAGGUCCUGAACGGCCUGAAGUAUCCAUUCUUCCUUGAAACGGCUGAAAAUUCUUCGAAUAAAUUGUUUUUCAUCUUGGGUUUAGAUUCCGUAAAAAAACAGACAGUUUACCCGAUAGGCAUUUUUCAAGGGAUUUUCCACAGAUUAAGCCUAUCUUUGGUUUCCAAAAAUAAGACGUAGAACUUUCAAAAACGACAAAAUCCAAGGAUUUCCCAUGACCAAAACGCUGCAUGUCUCCAGGAUAUUGGUAUUAUUGGCCCUAGCAUUUUCUUUCAGCUAUUGCCAAAGGCCCCUGUACAAAAACCUAGCCCAAGGAAGCUUCAUAGCUGUGGACGAAGAAAGCCCCUUGGACUCCGCGCUGUACGCUUUUGUUAACCCUUUCAAAGUUCAACUAGAAGCC
RNAcentral lists this ribosomal RNA (1479 nucleotides) under freshwater metagenome. RNAcentral describes it as "bacterial LSU rRNA". It matches the Rfam family "Bacterial large subunit ribosomal RNA", at positions 1237 to 2308 of the family's 2925-position model. The record is from RNAcentral.